CUACUUACCUGGCAGGGGAGAUACCAUGAUCACGAAGGUGGUUUUCCCAGGGCGAGGCUUAUCCAUUGCACUACGGAUGUGCUGACCCUUGCAAUUCCCCCAAAUGUGGGAAACUCGACUGCAUAAUUUGUGGUAGUAGAGGACUGCGUUCGUGCUUUCCCCUG
Molecule: small nuclear RNA, 164 nt
Filed under: Aotus nancymaae (Ma's night monkey)
Lineage: Eukaryota; Metazoa; Chordata; Mammalia; Primates; Aotidae
Description: U1 spliceosomal RNA (ENSANAG00000016096.1)
Rfam family: U1 spliceosomal RNA
About the family: U1 is a small nuclear RNA (snRNA) component of the spliceosome (involved in pre-mRNA splicing). Its 5' end forms complementary base pairs with the 5' splice junction, thus defining the 5' donor site of an intron.
Source: Rfam by way of RNAcentral